Rhodotorula sp. JG-1b is the source of this 82-nucleotide transfer RNA. It matches the Rfam family "tRNA". Rfam says of the family: Transfer RNA (tRNA) molecules are approximately 80 nucleotides in length. Their secondary structure includes four short double-helical elements and three loops (D, anti-codon, and T loops). Further hydrogen bonds mediate the characteristic L-shaped molecular structure. tRNAs have two regions of fundamental functional importance: the anti-codon, which is responsible for specific mRNA codon recognition, and the 3' end, to which the tRNAs corresponding amino acid is attached (by aminoacyl-tRNA synthetases). tRNAs cope with the degeneracy of the genetic code in two manners: having more than one tRNA (with a specific anti-codon) for a particular amino acid; and 'wobble' base-pairing, i.e. permitting non-standard base-pairing at the 3rd anti-codon position. The record is from Rfam. NCBI's taxonomy places the organism in Eukaryota, Fungi, Basidiomycota, Microbotryomycetes, Sporidiobolales, Sporidiobolaceae.
GUCUCCAUAGCUCAGUGGCAGAGCGGCAGACUGCAAUGACCUGUGUAUCUGUAGGUCGCCGGUUCGAUCCCGGCUGGGGACU